RNAcentral lists this long non-coding RNA (3065 nucleotides) under Canis lupus familiaris (dog). Its description in RNAcentral is "lncRNA (ENSCAFG00845022816.1)". Lineage: Eukaryota; Metazoa; Chordata; Mammalia; Carnivora; Canidae. The record is from RNAcentral.
GCCGGAGCGGCGGCGGCGGUGGGGGUGGGGGUGGGGGUCGGGCCCCCGCGGCGCUCCCCACCCCCCACCCCCGCGCUACCUCGGGCUCGGUGCACGCGUAGCCGGGCCGGCAGGUCCCCCGCCCCGGGGCGCACGGCCCGGGCCCCGAAGUCCGGCCGCCGACGCCUGGGGACCCGCGGGCCGCGCUCCCGCCGCCGAGCGCGCACCCCCGCCGGGACACGGACGCACACUCACCCGACACACACCGGCUCCCGCUCCCGCUCGCCCUCGGCGGAGAGUUGCAGCAGCUGCGGGUUCGCCCGGGGCCGGGGGGGCGCGUGUGCGCUGUGCGCGUGCAGACGGGGGGCGCAUCGCUAACAAAUCGAACCCGCCAUAAAGUGAGGAGCGCGGCUGGCCGGGUCCGCGGGGGGCGGACGGGGGCGGACGGGGAGCGGGCUUGCCGCGGGCCGCCUUGCUCCUCCCCGGCCCGGCGCUCCCCGCGCAGCGACACGUUAAUAAAUGUUUCCUUUUAUCCGCUUUCACAAGGGCCCGCCCGGGUCUGCAAACACCCGGCCGCCCUUUGCCGAGAGCCCGCCGGUCGGCUCGCCCCGCACCGCGCACCUGGCCCUGGAGCCGCCGGCUGCAGCCCGAGCGCCCAGCUAGACCGCAGGGUGAACUGCCCAGCGCCCCGGAGGCUUCCCGAGCAGGACCUUACCUCGCCCCAUGGCUCAGGCCUGAGAAGUGCCUCCUGUCAGUCACGGUGCCGUCCCUUGCAUGGCUUGGCAACAUCUCUGUCACUUGGCACCCAGGCUUAUCCUCGUCCUGUGAUUGCUCCUGGUGACUCAUCCAUUUGUGCUUAUAUCCGGUCGUCUGUGGCUCGGGCAGGUGCCGUGCCCAUGAGAGCUGGGCUGCCGACCAAGACGGCAGCAGAGGCCUCUGCCAUGAGCUGGAUUUAUCCUGGUCUGUCCCCUUCACCUUGGAGAGAGCACUUAGGCAUAGAUCACCCCCCUUCGCAGUGAUCGCUUACGGCGUAUGUCAGUAGGAACGUGGUUGCUGAUGGGAGACCCCCUUUGGCUAGCGAAGACAAGAAAGGGGUUUUGUUGAAAGUUCUUAAGUAUCCUCAGAUCCUCAGAAGGGUCAGAAUGCAGGCUUUGAAGCUGGACAGCCAGGAAAGACUUCAACCACACCGUAGGGGCUGCUCUGGCAACACCGCACUGCCGCCGCGUCCAUCCUGAUGACAUUGGGCUUGGACUCUGAAGGCUCAGUCACUGCUGAGCUCCAGGAAGAACUGAAAGCUUCGCCACAGUGUUUUCUAGAAGCUCAGAUCCCUUGGGCACAGCCACCACCACACAAAGCCACAUACUGAAGUCCUGUCUCCCAUGGGUGUGUCUGAUUAGCAGAACCUGGGCCACAUGACUGCAUCCCAACUGUGAAGUGCGGGGAUUUGAGUUUCUGGAAUUGGCCUGGGAAGGUGAGAAUCAUCAUGGGAUGUUAGAGAGAGGGGAUUGGGUGGCCACAAACACAAGACAAACACCUGCUCCACCUGCGGCAGGCUGGACAACAGGCCGAGCACUCCGUGUCUCUCAUUCUACCCUUGUCCUUAUAGUUAGGGAACCAAGUAUCAGCAAGGGGAAGUGACGUGUCCCAGGUUGCAAGGAGCCCAGACUCUAGAACCUUCAUCCACCUUCCAAACUCAGGGUUAGAUGGAAAAAUAUCAACAGAUCCCCAGCCACCUACAUGCACUAAUGCUGGCCUGGGGCCCCAACCACAAGGGAACCAUUUUGUGUGGCAAAUGCAGUCACAGGGUGAGCUCUGUUCUCUUGCUCACUCACUCCUUUGAUUGAAGCAGGAAACCACUUACGGUUCGUCCAUCCAUUCACAGCCAGAUCUUACGAAAUUCGUCAUGUGCUCAUGGUCAGAGGGCUUGGGCUCUGGUGCAGCUUCCUGCUGCUCGGCCUUGGGCCUCGUGCAUUCUCGAGCCUCAUCUGUAAAAUGGGCAUCCAAAUCUCGCCCCACUGUCUUCCCUCCAAGACUGUCAUCUGGAUCAAACGUAAGAGUGCAGAGUCAAUGAGUGAACUGCAGGACAGCUCUUGCUUCAUUGAUCUUAUUCCUCACCAGCAACCUGUGGAUAAAGGAAUCUGAAUGCCUGUUGGCAGUUGCAGUCACUCUGCUUCAAAAGGAGAGAUGAGCAGGGCCAUAGGAGCUCUCGGUGUUGUCUGCUCAGAAAAUACUGGAUGAAGGCUUGUUUCUUUGCCUUGAAUGGAGACCACACCCCAUGGACCAUUAACAGAUGCUACUGGGGACGGAUGGCCACAGUCUGUCUGCGUCCACCUGGGUGCAGGCAGCAGCAAAGACCCCCAAACAGUGCCAUUCUUGGGUUAUCCACAGGCAGAGUGCUGGUCCCGCAGGGCAGUUCAGAGCAGGAAGCCAGGCGUCCCUGGGGGGGAGAUGUGGACAGGGAAGGCCCAUGGGCUGCUGGGGAGGGGCGCCCACUGGGGCAGACUGGCCUGGCCUUGGAGCUGCUACGGGAGGUGCCUUGAUCAGGGUUAUCGGAGAGCCCAGCAGCCUUGCACAUCUGUGGUGAGAUGCUCCAUAGCUCAGCCUCAGAGCCUCAGGCCCCAAAUGUGACUCUCAUGACCCUGCUUCCAGAGGCUUAGAGUCCAGCAGGUGAGAAAGAUAGAUCGACCAAGCUCAACACCAGCCUGCAGCAGAGCAUCUUCAUUUUUACUGACAUCUGCUGUUUUCUUUCCCUCACCAGCAGAAACUCGGUUUUCUUUGGGUGGCGAUGUACCACCCUGAAGAGGCGGUGUAAGCUUUUAAGCCAGAGUUUCUCCGAGGGGGUCAUUGGACCAGCAGCAUCAGCGUCACCUGGGAACUUGUUAGAAAUGCAGACUCUUGGGAUGCCCGGGUGGCUCAGUGGUUCAGUGUCUGCCUUGGGCUCAGGUUGUGAUCCCAGAGUCCCGGGAUCGAGUCCUGCAUCAGGCUCCCUGCAUGGACCCUGCUUCUCCCUCUGCCUGUGUCUCUGCUUCUCUCUUUGUGUUUCUCAUGAAUAAAUAAGUAAAAAAAUCUUAAAAAAAAAAAAAGUG